UGAAUAUCUUCUCCUCUUUUC
Molecule: non-coding RNA, 21 nt
Filed under: Caenorhabditis elegans
Lineage: Eukaryota; Metazoa; Nematoda; Chromadorea; Rhabditida; Rhabditidae
Source: RNAcentral